GUUGAAACACUAGUUCCCCAUAUGAUCACUGAAGUUAAGCAAAAUUGAGCCUGGACACUACUUAGAUGGGUGACCGCUUGGUAAUACCAGGAGCUGUAAG
Acanthosepion pharaonis is the source of this 100-nucleotide non-coding RNA. The record is from the annotation of a GenBank genome assembly. Lineage: Eukaryota; Metazoa; Mollusca; Cephalopoda; Sepiida; Sepiidae.